GGUAAAAUGGCCGAGUUUAGGUGAUAAAUUGUAAAUUUAUUUACGAAAGUAAUUUCUUUUACCA
RNAcentral lists this transfer RNA (64 nucleotides) under Disteniidae sp. BMNH 899837. RNAcentral describes it as "tRNA-Tyr". Lineage: Eukaryota; Metazoa; Arthropoda; Insecta; Coleoptera; Cerambycidae. The record is from RNAcentral.